Molecule: ribosomal RNA, 276 nt
Filed under: uncultured bacterium
Lineage: Bacteria
Description: partial 16S ribosomal RNA
Rfam family: Bacterial small subunit ribosomal RNA
Source: RNAcentral
GCGUGAAUGAUGAAGGCCUUCGGGUUGUAAAAUUCUUUUCAUGGGGAUGAGGAAGGACAGUACUCAUGGAAUAAGUCUCGGCUAACUACGUGCCAGCAGCCGCGGUAACACGUAGGAGACAAGCGUUAUCCGGAUUUACUGGGUGUAAAGCGCGUGCAGGCGGUUUUGUAAGUUGGAUGUGAAAGCUCCUGGCUUAACUGGGAGAGGUCGUUCAAGACUGCAAGACUAGAGGAUGUCAGAGGGGAGUGGAAUUCCGAGUGUAGCGGUAAAAUGCAU